UACGUAGGGGGCAAGCGUUGUCCGGAUUUAUUGGGCGUAAAGAGCGUGUAGGCGGUUUGGUAGGUCCGCUGUGAAAACUCGAGGCUCAACCUCGAGACGCCGGUGGAAACCAUCAGACUAGAGUCCGGAAGAGGAGAGCGGAAUUCCUGGUGUAGCGGUGAAAUGCGUAGAGAUCGGGAGGAACAUCAGUGGCGAAGGCGGCCAUCUGGGACAACACUGACGCUGAGGCACGAAAGCGUGGGGAGCAAACAGG
This 253-nucleotide ribosomal RNA is filed under the name uncultured bacterium. Its description in RNAcentral is "partial 16S ribosomal RNA". It matches the Rfam family "Bacterial small subunit ribosomal RNA", at positions 524 to 776 of the family's 1533-position model. The record is from RNAcentral.